CCUACGGGAGGCAGCAGUGAGGAAUAUUGGUCAAUGGACGAGAGUCUGAACCAGCCAAGUAGCGUGAAGGAUGACUGCCCUAUGGGUUGUAAACUUCUUUUAUAAAAGAAUAAAACGAGGCACGUGUGCCUUUUUGCAUGUACUUUAUGAAUAAGGAUCGGCUAACUCCGUGCCAGCAGCCGCGGUAAUACGGAGGAUCCGAGCGUUAUCCGGAUUUAUUGGGUUUAAAGGGAGCGUAGAUGGGUUGUUAAGUCAGUGGUGAAAGUUUGCGGCUCAACCGUAAAAUUGCAAUUGAUACUGGCAGUCGUGAGUACAGUUGAGGUAGGCGGAAUUCGUGGUGUAGCGGUGAAAUGCUUAGAUAUCACGAAGAACCCCGAUUGCGAAGGCAGCUUACUAAACUGUGACUGACAUUGAUGCUCGAAAGUGUGGGUAUCAAACAGGAUUAGAUACCCCAGUAGUU
This 460-nucleotide ribosomal RNA is filed under the name uncultured bacterium. RNAcentral describes it as "partial 16S ribosomal RNA". It matches the Rfam family "Bacterial small subunit ribosomal RNA", at positions 338 to 795 of the family's 1533-position model. The record is from RNAcentral.